Molecule: ribosomal RNA, 410 nt
Filed under: Dohrniphora heliconiae
Lineage: Eukaryota; Metazoa; Arthropoda; Insecta; Diptera; Phoridae
Description: partial 16S ribosomal RNA
Source: RNAcentral
GUUAUUCNUAACUGUGCAAAGGUAGCAUAAUCAUUAGUCUUUUAAUUGAAGGCUGGAAUGAAUGGUUGAAUGAAAUAUUAACUGUUUCAGUUUAAUUAAANAUAGAAUUUUAUUUUUUAGUUAAAAAGCUAAAAUAAUUUUAAAAGACGAGAAGACCCUAUAAAUCUUUAUAAUANUUUGAUGUAAUUAGNUAUUUAGAUUAAUUAAUUUUUUUCAUUUAAUAUUAUUUUAUUGGGGUGAUAUUGAAAUUUAUAAAACUUUUAAUUUUUAAUGUACAUUAAUUAAUGAAUUAUNUGAUCCAUUANNUAAUGAUUAAAAAAUUAAGUUACUUUAGGGAUAACAGCNGUAAUUUUUUUUGAGAGUUCACAUUGAUAAAAAAGAUUGCGACCUCGAUGUUGGAUUAAGAUAUA